RNAcentral lists this long non-coding RNA (882 nucleotides) under Gossypium raimondii (Peruvian cotton). RNAcentral describes it as "long non-coding RNA (GRAI_LNC007073)". The record is from RNAcentral. Lineage: Eukaryota; Viridiplantae; Streptophyta; Magnoliopsida; Malvales; Malvaceae.
AAAACAUUUGGGGACACCAAAUUCACUUUAAAAUGACUAUUAAAAAUCUUGUUCUUUUUUCCCUUUAUACCUUAAAUCUUACAGCCCAAACAUAACAAUUACAUAAACUAAUUAAAGACUAGCAUGAACCCGAAAAGGAGGCUCAAAUCAGCUGCUUUGCCUAAGGUUCUAAGCUUGUUUGACGGCAAGAACAAGACAGGCAUCUACAAUUGCCUUUCAGCCGAAAAGAAGACAUUUGAACAGACAAAAAAUGGAUGACAAAGAUAUAAUCUUUUACACAAGAUUUCCAUCCUUUGCCCCGACAUUCUCCGAAACAUAAGGGGAUUCAAAGAGGCUAGUGGGUGCACAUUAACUUUUUUUCUUUCUGGGGAAAAAAAAGGCCAUGUGAAAACGAUGUAAGAAAGCAAUGCAAAGUGGAAUGCAUGGGGUACUAUUAUGUGACCAUGAAAACAAGGCAUGGAUAUGGAAGAGGGGCGAUGAAGAUUUGUUUGUGAAAUUUGGUGAUUUUUCUUAGGGUCCCAUGUUACCUUCGACUUGUUAGGAGAUUUUCACUGAAGAAGGACAUAUACUUGAUCGAAUGCAUGCAUGCGAUUGGCAGUGGACUUCUCGAUGGUAGACUUUUGGUAGCUUUCAUUGUCGGCCAGAAUAAGCUAAACACAAAACCCACCACGUGCUCCGCCUUGUUUCUGGUGUUUCUUAAUCAUUGAGACGUUCAACACUGGCAUGCAGCAAGCCAAGCUAGCACACAGGAAAAAGAAACACCACUUCGCACCAGAUCGAUGACAACGAACCUAGAGCAUUUGGGACGCUACUGGACUUAAAAACAAACUUGGAAAGUCAAGCCUGCGUUCUUUGUUUUUCUAUUCAGAACGUAAUUUCAAC